UACGUAGGGUGCAAGCGUUGUCCGGAAUUAUUGGGCGUAAAGAGCUCGUAGGCGGCUUGUCACGUCGGAUGUGAAAGCCCGGGGCUUAACUCCGGGUCUGCAUUCGAUACGGGCUAGCUAGAGUGUGGUAGGGGAGAUCGGAAUUCCUGGUGUAGCGGUGAAAUGCGCAGAUAUCAGGAGGAACACCGGUGGCGAAGGCGGAUCUCUGGGCCAUUACUGACGCUGAGGAGCGAAAGCGUGGGGAGCGAACAGG
This 253-nucleotide ribosomal RNA is filed under the name uncultured bacterium. Its description in RNAcentral is "partial 16S ribosomal RNA". It matches the Rfam family "Bacterial small subunit ribosomal RNA", at positions 524 to 776 of the family's 1533-position model. The record is from RNAcentral.